This 2862-nucleotide ribosomal RNA is filed under the name Triticum aestivum (bread wheat). RNAcentral's name for it is "partial small subunit ribosomal RNA". The record is from RNAcentral. Lineage: Eukaryota; Viridiplantae; Streptophyta; Magnoliopsida; Poales; Poaceae.
ACACCUGCCUAAAUUCGGAAGAGGCGUUGGUAUAGGGUUCCUACAGACAAACUCCACCUUGUCGUCCGCGCAUAUGUGGAGAUAGAAGAGGUUAAAGAAAGGGCACAGAGUCGGAAGAGGUGUGUUAAAGGAGGGGUAAGAUGUAGCCUGGCACUCCUGUAGAUCGACGCGAGAUGGUAGUGCACAACAGCGACGUCCGAUUCCGGCACACCCAAGUAGCAGCAGCUGGUAGAAGGAUUCUCGAGCCCGUCCUCCUGCACCACUAGGUCUAAAGUGACUAGAGACGAGUGACCGGCCGUCCAAGAUGAAGAUGUCCUGAUGAAUCGUAGCGACGGCACUCCAUGACGUGAGAUCAUCACUAACGUUUACCUAUGGUUUUAGUCAUGAUCUGUGUUCCAACUGGAUCUCGUGUACCACGCCUCGGUUGUAUGGACGGCAAUAGUGAAAAUGUUCUUUAGUGUCUGUCAAAGAGACUACUAGUUGUUUAACCGUCGCCACCCAAACGCCAACAAAUAUUCCCUUGUCACCCUUUCCCUUACCAGCGACACUUCUUCAACAGGUAUUGUGAACUAUACGUACUCUUAUUUAAGGUGUCUCUCCAACUCACGGAUUACUUCCGGUUCGUGUUCUUGUAUCAAGCAAAAAACCCUAUGACAAGACUGUGCGUUCCCUACCACCCCCUGAUACUGCCCUUUAAACAGUACCGCCUACAUGCUUUGACCCACGAUACAAAACUCAUGUAUGGAUUGCCUUCAGAGCUAUUCAUAUAAUGGCUACACAGAACACCUGAAUUUACCUCUCUAGCAAUAGUAUAAUAGUUCCCUUGGACACUCCCGAAUGAAGUAGAAGUACUCUUCGCAUAAGAAGUAAAUCUAGAGUUCGGGCCUUUAUAUAACAAUCGACUAGUGUACCAUGGCUUUUAACGACUAAAACCUGAGAGUUCCACGGAGCUACUUCUGGUUUGGGCUCGAAAAUGAAGUGUAGAUACACCUAGAGUCCCUAUGAAUCGUGGUCUUAAGAUAUCUCCUGUUAAGUGUAAACGCAGUCUGUAUAUAUCAGAACCGUAAUAUUAACACCUCUAUGAUUGUCCUCUCUUCCCCAUAGGUCUUCUCCUCUUACAUCAACGUUUAACCUACUUAGUCAACCUCCGUAGUCUAGUCACCGUAUGUGUCAACCUCGUUCAUUCUCAUACGUGAUUCUAUCCCUAUGUCACGUACCUGAACUUGGGUUUCUUCUCUGGUCAACGUGCAGUAUAUGAACUAUCCGAUCUAUUUUGUUUUUAAUGGUAGCUUUGACCGUAUUCACCAAGUAGUCAACUCGUCGUCCAAUCAAAGGAUUUCCUUGUUAUAACGGUUCUCUUUUUAAGUUUCGCAAGUAUAGUCAUGGAACCUUUCCUUUAGUUCCUUGUGCGACUUUGUCUUCCUGAACGUUUUAUACAUCUCUAUGGAUCUCUUCUAGUAACCGUCGUUCCCGUCGUUCUUCGAAGCUCACUAGUUACCGGUAAUUCCCCUCACGUUCUACAUUUCUUUUUACAUUCGGGUGUUCCACGUUCAUAAAGAUCGAGGUUGUUACCAAACGAGAUAUUCAACUUGUUAAACCUGUAGAAACUGUCUUUUCGUGUGUCCUUAGUGCACGCCAUACCACCCGGAUGUAACCUCUUACAUUUAAAACACUUUGAAAAGUUUUUUUUCCUCGAGCCAGGUUAAAAUUUCUUAUUCUUAGAAUAAUCUUCUCUAUCGAAACCUCAUCAAAUGUACCCGGAACAACUAUCACACGGUCAAUGUUAUUCCUUCGAUAAAUCACCAUCACACCAUGUCUUACUUCUAAAACGUUUACUUCAGUAGUAGGUCAGAGUUCAGUAAGUGCCUUUAUACCAAUCCGAGUAUCCGACAACGGAACUUAAGCUUCAGGGCUACGAUCAGGUACUCAAAGUGAGAUAUCGUUCGGAGGUAAUGUAAGAAGUGUGGUUGUAGUUCCACGGAGAAUUGGAACCGCACGCUAAUUCAUAACGACGUUGUUACCGUCCACGAGAUAGAAUACACGUAAGACGUGAACAAUUCUUUUAUAAUGUGCCAUUACAAUUUGGUAGUUUAUAUGAGAACCUAUUGUUGAAACACGGUUUCUAGAGUCUGUGGCCGUAUAGUUCCAACUAGCACUCUCAGGUACUUGUAUCGCCUUAUAGGUAACCACUGUACCGAAUAUACCUAGGCCAUAUACAUGCUUGUCCGGACGACUGGCUUGUUUCACUACAGAUGUCAAAACCUCAAUAGUAGAACCUCGAACAAUGAUCCUCUUUCCGGUGUGUAUACCUGUUUUUGUCGAAUCAUUAAUUAAAGGAACUCUUGGUGUUCGUCCCCUCCUUUAGCUGGCUCAACAAACUGUUCCUUUAGUGUCACUGUCUUUUAAACUUCGAAGAACUGUGAGACCAUCCUUAACGACGACUUACGGAAUUAAGACUACACCUGGAUUCUGGUUGUUACCAUCUACAGCGUUUAGCAGAUAGGUACGACUUAGCUAGGACAUUAAACUCAACUGUUCAACUACGUAAAUGAUCACCUCAAACUUGUGCAUACUACACAACCUAUUCGCAGACUAUCCGUGUUGAUAAAUGUUUUACACACUACUAGCUUCACACCAACACUUCUUUAGAAACUUCAUGGCGGACAAUUCACACGAUUUCGUGCGGAAGAGUCCGGAGGCCACCGGAUGCGGGAUGCCGGGCUAUAGGUCUCGUUUACAUUUAAACGUAAGUCCAGCGUAGACGACGGAGGGUUCGGUUUGGACUUUCCCCUUAUUUUAAGUCUAAGUGUGUCGACGUGCGGACGUGGAGUAAGUCUGAACCUAUACAGACUACACUAGAUG